This 1456-nucleotide unclassified non-coding RNA is filed under the name Hevea brasiliensis (rubber tree). Lineage: Eukaryota; Viridiplantae; Streptophyta; Magnoliopsida; Malpighiales; Euphorbiaceae. The record is from RNAcentral.
CUGGGACACAAAUAAUAGAUGCCACACAAACAAGUUAAAGAAGCACAAUGCUAUUAAAUUACUUGGUUAUUCCAGGCAAGACAGCUAUUAGUAUCAUAAAAUUAACACUCAGCUACUUCUGGAACUUCAAUGGUUAAUAAUAAUUACAAAAACACAUAUUGAACAUGCUCUCAGCAGAUAUACCAUCUAAUCUCUUAGAUGUACAAUCGAGCAAUAAUUUUAUUAUAUUGGAAAAAUAAAUGCACCAUGUUUCUCCUGAAUAACUAAUGAAUUUUGAAAAGUGGAUGAUGAAAAUUACAAAUCCAUAAGCAGAAGAAACAGACAUAAAAGACUUAAAUCUAACAGAAUUGUAUAGGACGAAAUCAUUCAAGUAUCAAAUUGGUUCUCUACCAGCUUGUGGCAUUAAAUCACUCAAUUUUGUGUAGAUUAAUUGAGGAUAACCUAACCAUUUUCUUCUUUCAUCGCCUGACCAAUGCCGUACUAAUAAACUUCAAAAAAUUCAAUCUUCAAUUAACUCUCGUUUGUCUUCAAAAAUAAAUAAAUAAAUCAAAUUUGAUAAAUGGGUCAGAAAUGGCUACUAUGGUAAACUCAAAUAGUACCUCCAGAACCAGAACCAUUCAGUGUGAAAACCCAAAAACUAAGCUAAAUGCAUGUUGAAUCCAUCAUUUUCAUUUGUGACUAGGGUUGAGAAGAAUUCGAUUAAAAUUGAAAAACCAAACCGAACCAUUUGCAUUCAGUUUUUUCAGUUUGGUUUGGUUCUGAUUUUAUAAGAAGUUCGAUUUUCAAUUUAGUUUAGUUAUUUCGCCCAAAAAAACGAAUAAACCGAACCAACUGAAUUUAGUGGGCAGCAUUUACAAGGGGUUUAGGCUUGUUAUGUUUAAAAGGCCUGGUUAUUUUACUUCAGUUUAGACUCGUGUUAUUUACUAAAAACUCUAAAAAACCCCAGGUCAAGCCCACGUUUACUUCACUAAAAAAUGAAAAAUGGAGGCAGACCUAACCCUAAGUCACUACUCACUCACUAGCUCCCUUCUCCCUCCCUGGUUGUGCAGCUGUACCUCCCCCAACCUGCCUCUCAAGUCUCAACCCCUCCGACGCCCUCUCUCUCUCACUUCUCACACUCUUUUGCUUUAGUCUCUCUCACUUUGUUUUGCUUAUCCCCUUGCCAUUUUGCUUUGUUUUGCUUCAGACUCUCCCAGUUUUGCCUGUGUAACUUGCUGUUUUGCUUCAUUUUGCCUUUGUGCACGAACUCAAAAUAUUUUGUUUUGGACAGGUUGUACUCGUCUUCAUGGUUAAGUUCAGUGCCUCUCUUUAGGGAAUUCAGUAAUUUGGUUUGUCCAAUUCGAUUCAGUUCAGAACCAAACUGACCGAAUUCUCUGCCCCAUUUGUAAUCAUAUUUUUAAUUUAUGAUGCAUAAAAAAAGUCUGCGGGCAAAUAUGAAUCUGAAAAUUUGAUGUGG